AGAGAGAGACAUGCGCGCAUAUCAAUAAGCGGAGGAAAAGAAACUAACAAGGAUUCCCUUAGUAACGGCGAGUGAAGCGGGAAGAGCUCAAAUUUGAAAUCUUCAAGGUUUUACCUUGACGAAUUGUAGUUUAAAGAAGUGUUUUCUGCUGAAGUUUUGGUAAAAGUUCUUUGGAAUAGGACAUCAUAGAGGGUGAGAAUCCCGUAUUUGACCAUUAUUUUCCAGCUUUGUGAUACACUUUCAAAGAGUCGGAUUGUUUGGGAAUGCAGUCCAAAAUGGGUGGUAAAUUUCAUCUAAAGCUAAAUAUUGGCGAGAGACCGAUAGCGGACAAGUACCGUGAGGGAAAGAUGAAAAGAACUUUGAAAGGAGAGUUAAACAGUACGUGAAAUUGUCAAAAGGGAAGCGUUUGACACCAGUGUUGUUUUCUCGAAAAUCAAUUAAAAAUGGCUCGAUUUUGUAUUGCUGAGACCUUAAAAGCUCACUGUACAUUUUUCGUGUCUUUUUUAAUGCACUUUUCGUUCAACAAGUCAACAUCAGUUUCUUUUGUUGUAAAAGGGUCAUUGGAAGGUGGCUUUCUUUUCGGAGAAAGUGUUUAUAGCCUUGGCCUCUGCAAUCGAAGAGACUGAGGUCUGCAGCGUAGACUCUUCGGGGUUAGAUACAUUUGUGCUAAGUUAUAGCUUUUUAUAGACAACUUGUUGACUAUAAUUAGUCUUGUAGCUUACUCGCUUAUGCUAUUUUACCUACGCUUAGGAUGUUGAGUCGUAGAGCACGCAG
This 774-nucleotide ribosomal RNA is filed under the name uncultured Neocallimastigales. Its description in RNAcentral is "partial large subunit ribosomal RNA". It matches the Rfam family "Eukaryotic large subunit ribosomal RNA", at positions 23 to 634 of the family's 3401-position model. The record is from RNAcentral. Lineage: Eukaryota; Fungi; Neocallimastigomycota; Neocallimastigomycetes; Neocallimastigales.